Molecule: ribosomal RNA, 975 nt
Filed under: Triticum aestivum (bread wheat)
Lineage: Eukaryota; Viridiplantae; Streptophyta; Magnoliopsida; Poales; Poaceae
Description: partial small subunit ribosomal RNA
Source: RNAcentral
CCCGGUAACCCCGCGCCCGCCGACACGCGGGCCCCGCCGGCCGCGCGGCUCACAUGCGUGCGCGUCCCCCGUACAAAACGAGCCAGCCAGUCACUGCCGCUGCCGCUCGGGGGAGAAAAAAUAUCUUUUUUUACGGGGCCGCGGGGUGCGUUUCCCCCGUCUCGAGGUAUAAAUCCGUCAAUCGACUGCUGCUCCUUUUCCACUUCGAUUCGCCGUCUCCUCCUCCCCCUUCCCCUCCGUCUCGCUCCUCGCCCUUAUCCCCGUCCCUUUCCCCUUCCUCCCACCCGCAGCCGACGAAACUUUCCCCAAGCCCCUCGGUGGAUCGGACCGCCGCGCUCCAUCCAUGUCGGAGGAAUCUGGUCGCCCUUUGCCCAAGUUUGGCGAAUGGGACGUCAACGACCCAGCUUCUGCUGAUGGGUUCACUGUUAUAUUCAACAAAGCCAGGGAUGAGAAAAAGGCUGGGAAUGGACAAGAUACUGAAUCCCCUGGCAAAGAUGCCAGGACUGAGAGGGUGGAAUCUUAUGCCACCAAGGCAAAUUCAAAGAAGUGGUUUUGCUGCGUGACACCAAGUCCUACACAAUCUUGAGGAGGACAAGCGUCGCCCGAAGAAAAAAUGGUUGCCGAAGUAUGGUCGUUUAAUUUUGCUAUAUACAUACUAUCCAUAAGACCUUGUAAGAGGUACCCAGGCUCCCUGGGCCAUCACGAUGGGUAUCUCGUAAAAGAUGGGUAUCUCGUAAAACUCUGAAGUGUGUGUAUGUAUGGUGUGAGGGUUGUCAGACACUCAGUUUGGAUAAGUGAACUUCUGAUUGUAAUUCUGGUCUUCCUUGUCGGUCUCGUUUUGUGUAGUAGUAGUGGUGAAGUUGAUAUGUGAUUUGAGUCUCGCCUAUUGCCAGAACUGCAAACAUCCAAAAUUCCAAUCCCUACCUGUGAUUUGGCCCAUUAUUAUGUGAUAACACAAGUAUCCUUAUCCUUUUC